GUGGGUGGCAGGGCCUGCCGCCCUGAGGCUGCCUUUCCCCGCGUUCCCUCGUUGAUUGGCUCAUUCUUCCUUUCAUCCAUCCAUCCUUUGCAAAUAUUAUUAUAUUUGAUGGGAAGUCUGCCAAGGGCCCCUAAAGACCAGAUCCAUCAUGGCUGGGACAUCUGCAUCACGUGUGAAUGGGUAGGAUUUGGAGUGGUUGGUGAACCCACCACUCUAGAGUCUGAAGCUUACAGGUGUAAAACAAAAAGGAAGGAAGGAAGACUGGUGGAAUAAAUAAACCAAAGGAACUAAAUUUUGUUCAGACAUCCACUCUUCACCUUCCCAGCCCCUGUUUGCCUGUAACUACAAAGCAGGUGACUAGAUAACCCCAUCCCCUUUGCCAAGGGUUAGUUUAUACUCACUUUAGGUAAUCACAGUCAUUCCUCUUCCAUCUCCAAUGAUUAGAUUAGGAAUAGAUCAUGUCACUCGAUUUAGAACAGUCUUAAAAGGAAGUCUGCUGAGAGAUCUCUAGGAAAGGUUUCCUCUUAAAAGGGAGAAUUCAAGAAAGAAAUGGCAAUCAAUGUUAAAAACAUUAGGCUAGGCAGGCCAGGUUCAGUGGCUCACGCCUGUUACCCCAGCACUUUGGGAGGCCGAGGUGGGAGGAUCAUCUGAGGCCAGGAGUUCGAGGCCAGCCUGGCCAACAUGGUGAAACCCCAUUUCUACUGAAAAUACAAAAAUUAGCUGGGCACGGUGGUGCAUGCCUGUAAUCCCAGCCACCUGGAGGCUGAGGCAGAAGAAUCACUGGAACCCGGGAGGCGGAAGCUACAGCAAGUCAAGGUCACGCCACUGCACUCCAGCCUGGGUGACAGAGUGAGACUCCAUCUCAAAAAAAAAAAAAAAAGAAAAA
Long non-coding RNA from Macaca mulatta (Rhesus monkey), 886 nucleotides. The record is from Ensembl. NCBI's taxonomy places the organism in Eukaryota, Metazoa, Chordata, Mammalia, Primates, Cercopithecidae.